This 363-nucleotide transfer-messenger RNA is filed under the name Bacteroidota (CFB group bacteria). Its description in RNAcentral is "Kryptonium kryptomonas Standard tmRNA". It matches the Rfam family "transfer-messenger RNA". From Rfam's summary of the family: Bacterial tmRNA, also known as 10Sa RNA or SsrA, is named for its dual tRNA and mRNA-like properties. Its role is to liberate the mRNA from a stalled ribosome. To accomplish this part of the tmRNA is used as a reading frame that ends in a translation stop signal. RNAcentral also lists the same sequence under 2 other names. Lineage: Bacteria; Pseudomonadati. The record is from RNAcentral.
GGGGGUGAUGUGGUUUCGACGGAAGCCACGGGCACUUAAAACUGCACGUCCCCGUUUCGCCGUUCGGGGUAAAAAAACGGCGGAAAAAUAAGUGCCAACUACAACUAUGCUUUGGCUGCUUAAUUAAAAAAGCAGCCCAUCCUUUACGGCUCGUGCCUGUCCGGGCUGUAAAGGGUGUGGAUCAAGACAGGCUCUUACGAUGUCUGUUCUCAGGGGACAUCGUAAGGUAUAAACCUGAGAUAGCUUCGCUACAGGGCGCCUACCCCCAAGUAGCGAGGCGAAUUUAAAAAAGGUAGGCUAAGCGUGUAGAUGUUUUAAGUGUCUGGCUUCCGGACCCGGGUUCGACUCCCGGCACCUCCACUA